RNAcentral lists this transfer RNA (72 nucleotides) under Camelus bactrianus (Bactrian camel). It matches the Rfam family "tRNA". From Rfam's summary of the family: Transfer RNA (tRNA) molecules are approximately 80 nucleotides in length. The record is from Rfam by way of RNAcentral. Lineage: Eukaryota; Metazoa; Chordata; Mammalia; Artiodactyla; Camelidae. RNAcentral also lists the same sequence under 3 other names.
AGGGAAAUAGCUCAGUGGUAGAGUGCAUGCUUAGCAUGCAUGAGGUCCUGGGUUCAAUCCCCAGUACCUCCA